GACGAACGCUGGCGGCGUGCUUAACACAUGCAAGUCGAACGGAAAGGCCCUGCUUUUGUGGGGUGCUCGAGUGGCGAACGGGUGAGUAACACGUGAGUAACCUGCCCUUGACUUUGGGAUAACUUCAGGAAACUGGGGCUAAUACCGGAUAGGAGCUCCUGCUGCAUGGUGGGGGUUGGAAAGUUUCGGCGGUUGGGGGUGGACUCGCGGCUUAUCAGUUUGUUGGGGGGGUAGGGGCUUACCAAGGCUUUGCGGGGUGGCCGGCCUGAGGGGGUGACCGGCCAAAUGGGGACUGGGAUACGGCCCAGACUCCUACGGGGGGGAGAGGGGGGGAAUAUUGCAAAAGGGGGGGAAGCCUGAUGCAGAAACGCGGGGGGCGGGAUGACGGCCUUGGGGUGGUAAACCGCUUUCGCCUGUGACGAAGGGGGGGGGACGGGAAUGGGUAAAGAAGCACCGGCUAACUACGU
Molecule: ribosomal RNA, 467 nt
Filed under: uncultured bacterium
Lineage: Bacteria
Description: partial 16S ribosomal RNA
Rfam family: Bacterial small subunit ribosomal RNA
Source: RNAcentral